RNAcentral lists this long non-coding RNA (1040 nucleotides) under Gallus gallus (chicken). RNAcentral describes it as "lncRNA (ENSGALG00010012020.1)". Lineage: Eukaryota; Metazoa; Chordata; Aves; Galliformes; Phasianidae. The record is from RNAcentral.
UUCCUGGAGAUUGCUCCUUGUGGAGAUUUUGAAGCCUAUGACACUGUGUUGUGUCAGCAACUGGGUAUCUUUUUCAGAGGCACAAUGAAUUUUGCAUAAUGUUAAUGAGAGGAAGUUUCAUAGUUCUGUCAUGGAAGUACAAGGUACUACAAUCACCCCCUUGCUUUGUAUGGGCAGAAUCAGACCAGAUGAGGGACAAAAUAAGUGAAAAGAAGACUUCUUCCAGUUUCAAACUCUACAAACAACAGAGGAUCUAUCGCUGAGUCACAGAAGUGUGAGGGAGCAAGGAGACAUCCUUCAUGAAUGGAAUGAAGCUCUGUAACUAAUUUUGAAUACUACCUGGAUUUCCUCUAAUUUGAGGACUUGGCACAAGAUAAUUGAUUUGUUUUCUAAAUUUUGGAAAAAAAAAAAUCAGGAAAGAAGACCUGUGAAAAUGCAUGGUGAGAUGUUGAAUAGAUGUGUUAUCACUUACGGUUCCUAGUGUGCCAAAAAUCCCCUAAUAAAACCCAAAUGCAAACGUGGUGCUAAGCAGGAAAAAAAAGUAGGUAGAUAAGCAGGGUUAAGAGGCAAAGGAAGAAGCAAAUAUUACCAUGUUAUGGAGGCUACUCUUGUCUAUUCAUCCUUGUGCUAUACAUAUAUUUGUAUGGUAAAAACAAAACACAAAGAAAGCCUCUUCAAAUAUAUAUAUUAUGAGGAAUAAGAACCCUAUAUAUACUUGAGAGACAUGAAAUUGUUUGCCUUUAAAUUAUCCAGAUGCCUUUAAAAACCUCUCUUGUCCUUAAUAUUCCUUUCUCAAGCUUCUCUUUAAUUCACCCAGUUCCAACUCCUUGCCUUUUAAGAAAUGGAAGUGGAUGGCACUUCUGCUGUAUCUGUCUGAAAAGAAAACUAUGCGGGAAGCAGAAUCAAAGUAUGCCAUUCAGUUUACCUAUGAAUACCUAUGCCAGAGCGGGGGUUAAUGUAAGUGUAGAAUGUUAUACAACAUGAAAUGCAGAGUGCACUGCACAAUCAUGGUAUAGCAGGUAGCUAUGAGUAAAGCAGAU